Molecule: ribosomal RNA, 253 nt
Filed under: uncultured bacterium
Lineage: Bacteria
Description: partial 16S ribosomal RNA
Rfam family: Bacterial small subunit ribosomal RNA
Source: RNAcentral
UACGAAGGGGGCUAGCGUUGUUCGGAAUCACUGGGCGUAAAGGGCGCGUAGGCGGCCUGAUAAGUCGGGGGUGAAAGCCUGUGGCUCAACCACAGAAUUGCCUUCGAUACUGUCUGUCUUGAGUCCGGGAGAGGUGAGUGGAAUUCCUAGUGUAGAGGUGAAAUUCGUAGAUAUUAGGAAGAACACCAGUGGCGAAGGCGGCUCACUGGCCCGGAACUGACGCUCAUGUGCGAAAGCGUGGGGAGCAAACAGG